Molecule: small RNA, 1757 nt
Filed under: Pan troglodytes (chimpanzee)
Lineage: Eukaryota; Metazoa; Chordata; Mammalia; Primates; Hominidae
Description: processed transcript
Source: RNAcentral
GUUACUACAUGCUCGGCAAUUUACACAUUUCAAUUCAUUCGAUCCUCAGUGUACCGCCGGAAGCACCAGGAGCUGCAAGCCAUGCAGAUGGAGCUGCAGAGCCCUGAGUACAAGCUGAGCAAGCUCCGCACCUCGACCAUCAUGACCGACUACAACCCCAACUACUGCUUUGCCGGCAAGACCUCCUCCAUCAGUGACCUGAAGGAGGUGCCGCGGAAAAACAUCACCCUCAUUCGGGGUCUGGGCCAUGGCGCCUUUGGGGAGGUGUAUGAAGGCCAGGUGUCCGGAAUGCCCAACGACCCAAGCCCCCUGCAAGUGGCUGUGAAGACGCUGCCUGAAGUGUGCUCUGAACAGGAUGAACUGGAUUUCCUCAUGGAAGCCCUGAUCAUCAGCAAAUUCAACCACCAGAACAUCGUUCGCUGCAUUGGGGUGAGCCUGCAAGCCCUGCCCCGGUUCAUCCUGCUGGAGCUCAUGGCGGGGGGAGACCUCAAGUCCUUCCUCCGAGAGACCCGCCCUCGCCCGAGCCAGCCCACCUCCCUGGCCAUGCUGGACCUUCUGCACGUGGCUCGGGACAUUGCCUGUGGCUGUCAGUAUUUGGAGGAAAACCACUUCAUCCACCGAGACAUUGCUGCCAGAAACUGCCUCUUGACCUGUCCAGGCCCUGGAAGAGUGGCCAAGAUUGGAGACUUCGGGAUGGCCCGAGACAUCUACAGGGCGAGCUACUAUAGAAAGGGAGGCUGUGCCAUGCUGCCAGUUAAGUGGAUGCCCCCAGAGGCCUUCAUGGAAGGAAUAUUCACUUCUAAAACAGACACAUGGUCCUUUGGAGUGCUGCUAUGGGAAAUCUUUUCUCUCGGAUAUAUGCCAUACCCCAGCAAAAGCAACCAGGAAGUUCUGGAGUUUGUCACCAGUGGAGGCCGGAUGGACCCACCCAAGAACUGCCCUGGGCCUGUAUACCGGAUAAUGACUCAGUGCUGGCAACAUCAGCCUGAAGACAGGCCCAACUUUGCCAUCAUUUUGGAGAGGAUUGAAUACUGCACCCAGGACCCGGAUGUAAUCAACACCGCUUUGCCGAUAGAAUAUGGUCCACUUGUGGAAGAGGAAGAGAAAGUGCCUGUGAGGCCCAAGGACCCUGAGGGGGUUCCUCCUCUCCUGGUCUCUCAACAGGCGAAACGGGAGGAGGAGCGCAGCCCAGCUGCCCCACCACCUCUGCCUACCACCUCCUCUGACAAGGCUGCAAAGAAACCCACAGCUGCAGAGGUCUCUGUUCGAGUCCCUAGAGGGCCGGCCGUGGAAGGGGGACACGUGAAUAUGGCAUUCUCUCAGUCCAACCCCCCUUCGGAGUUGCACAAGGUCCACGGAUCCAGAAACAAGCCCACCAGCUUGUGGAACCCAACGUACGGCUCCUGGUUUACAGAGAAACCCACCAAAAAGAAUAAUCCUAUAGCAAAGAAGGAGCCACACGAGAGGGGUAACCUGGGGCUGGAGGGAAGCUGUACUGUCCCACCUAACGUUGCAACUGGGAGACUUCCGGGGGCCUCACUGCUCCUAGAGCCCUCUUCGCUGACUGCCAAUAUGAAGGAGGUACCUCUGUUCAGGCUACGUCACUUCCCUUGUGGGAAUGUCAAUUACGGCUACCAGCAACAGGGCUUGCCCUUAGAAGCCGCUACUGCCCCUGGAGCUGGUCAUUACGAGGAUACCAUUCUGAAAAGCAAGAAUAGCAUGAACCAGCCUGGGCCCUGAGCUCGGUCGCACACUCA